This 419-nucleotide ribosomal RNA is filed under the name Escherichia coli. RNAcentral describes it as "partial 23S ribosomal RNA". It matches the Rfam family "Bacterial large subunit ribosomal RNA", at positions 1 to 450 of the family's 2925-position model. The record is from RNAcentral. Lineage: Bacteria; Pseudomonadati; Pseudomonadota; Gammaproteobacteria; Enterobacterales; Enterobacteriaceae.
GGGUUGUGAGGUUAAGCGACUAAGCGUACACGGUGGAUGCCCUGGCAGUCAGAGGCGAUGAAGGACGUGCUAAUCUGCGAUAAGCGUCGGUAAGGUGAUAUGAACCGUUAUAACCGGCGAUUUCCGAAUGGGGAAACCCAGUGUGAUUCGUCACACUAUCAUUAACUGAAUCCAUAGGUUAAUGAGGCGAACCGGGGGAACUGAAACAUCUAAGUACCCCGAGGAAAAGAAAUCAACCGAGAUUCCCCCAGUAGCGGCGAGCGAACGGGGAGGAGCCCAGAGCCUGAAUCAGUGUGUGUGUUAGUGGAAGCGUCUGGAAAGGCGCGCGAUACAGGGUGACAGCCCCGUACACAAAAAUGCACAUACUGUGAGCUCGAUGAGUAGGGCGGGACACGUGGUAUCCUGUCUGAAUAUGGGGG